UAUGUCAGAUGUGAAAUCGUAGGGCUCAACCCUGCAACUAUAUCUGAAACUGACAAGCUUGAGCAUAUGAGGGGUACCUGGAAUUCCUAGUGUAGGAGUGAAAUCCGUAGAUAUUAGGAGGAACACCAAUGGCGUAGGCAGGGUACUGGCAUAUUGCUGACACUGAGGCACGAAAGCGUGGGUAGCGAACGGAUUAGAUACCCCGGUAGUCCACGCCGUAAACGAUGAAUGCUA
Molecule: ribosomal RNA, 234 nt
Filed under: uncultured Candidatus Saccharibacteria bacterium
Lineage: Bacteria; Candidatus Saccharimonadota
Description: partial 16S ribosomal RNA
Rfam family: Bacterial small subunit ribosomal RNA
Source: RNAcentral